RNAcentral lists this ribosomal RNA (412 nucleotides) under uncultured bacterium. Its description in RNAcentral is "bacterial SSU rRNA". It matches the Rfam family "Bacterial small subunit ribosomal RNA", at positions 32 to 435 of the family's 1533-position model. The record is from RNAcentral.
AAUCAACGCUGGCGGCGUGCCUCAGACAUGCAAGUCGAACGAUUAAAGCUCUCUUCGGAGAGUGCAUAGAGUGGCGCACGGGUGAGUAACACGUAAGUAAUCUACCUUCGAGUGGGGAAUAACAGUCGGAAACGACUGCUAAUACCGCAUAAUGCAGCGGCAUCGCAAGAUGACAGUUGUUAAAGGAGCAAUUCGCUUGAAGAGAAGCUGCGGCAGAUUAGCUUGUUGGUAAGGUAACGGCUUACCAAGGCUACGAUCUGUAACCGGUCUAAGAGGACGGUCGGUCACACUGACACUGAAUAACGGGUCAGACUCCUACGGGAGGCAGCAGUCGGGAAUUUUGGGCAAUGGGCGAAAGCCUGACCCAGCAACGCCGCGUGAAGGAUGAAGUAUUUCGGUAUGUAAACUUACG